AAGAUUAUACUUUCAGGGAUCAUUUCUAUAGUUCGUUACUAGAGAAGUCUCUCUGAAUGUGUAGAGCACCGGAAACCACAAGGAGGUGCAGCGUUCUCUCCUGAGCAUGAAGCCAGCUCUUGGUGUUGCUUUACUGCAAUUGCCAGUUACAUCAAAAUUGCCAAUGAUGAUCAUUCUUCUCUCCCUUUGGGGGAGUAAGAAGGGAAGAACACAGUCUUA
This is a small nucleolar RNA of Otolemur garnettii (small-eared galago), 219 nucleotides long. Its record names the gene U3. It matches the Rfam family "Small nucleolar RNA U3". Rfam says of the family: Small nucleolar RNAs (snoRNAs) are involved in the processing and modification of rRNA in the nucleolus. There are two main classes of snoRNAs: the box C/D class, and the box H/ACA class. NCBI's taxonomy places the organism in Eukaryota, Metazoa, Chordata, Mammalia, Primates, Galagidae. The record is from Ensembl.